Molecule: small RNA, 705 nt
Filed under: Pongo abelii (Sumatran orangutan)
Lineage: Eukaryota; Metazoa; Chordata; Mammalia; Primates; Hominidae
Description: processed transcript
Source: RNAcentral
GGCGGACGAGGAGAAGCUGCCGCCCGGCUGGGAGAAGCGCAUGAGCCGCAGCUCAGAGUAAACACUCAGGAAGCGUUACCCAUUGCUGCCAUUCCCAGAGAUGCAAAAGGUGAGAACACCGAGGCCCAGGGAAGGUAGAUCACAUUUGAACCCAGAUUCAGAUUUGAAUCCAGGUGGCCUGGCUGCAGAGUGCAUGGCCGAGUGUACUACUUCAACCACAUCACUAACGCCAGCCAGUGGGAGCGGCCCAGCGGCAACAGCAGCAGUGGUGGCAAAAACGGGCAGGGGGAGCCCGCCAGGGUCCGCUGUUCGCACCUGCUGGUGAAGCACAGCCAGUCAAGGCGGCCCUCGUCCUGGCGGCAGGAGAAGAUCACCCGGACCAAGGAGGAGGCCCUGGAACUGAUCAACGGCUACAUCCAGAAGAUCAAGUCGGGAGAGGAGGACUUUGAGUCUCUGGCCUCACAGUUCAGCGACUGCAGCUCAGCCAAGGCCAGGGGAGACCUGGGUGCCUUCAGCAGAGGUCAGAUGCAGAAGCCAUUUGAAGAUGCCUCGUUUGCGCUGCGGACGGGGGAGAUGAGCGGGCCCGUGUUCACGGAUUCCGGCAUCCACAUCAUCCUCCGCACUGAGUGAGGGUGGGGAGCCCAGGCCUGGCCUCGGGGCAGGGCAGGGUGGCUAGGCCGGCCAGCUCCCCCUUGCCCGCCAGCC